This 504-nucleotide ribosomal RNA is filed under the name Philothamnus semivariegatus. RNAcentral's name for it is "partial 16S ribosomal RNA". It matches the Rfam family "Bacterial large subunit ribosomal RNA", at positions 1816 to 2597 of the family's 2925-position model. The record is from RNAcentral. Lineage: Eukaryota; Metazoa; Chordata; Lepidosauria; Squamata; Colubridae.
AACCUUUAGCCAAACAAAUAUUAAAGGCAACGCCUGCCCAGUGAACAAUUUAACGGCCGCGGUAUCCUAACCGUGCAAAGGUAGCAUAAUCAUUUGUCUACUAAUUAUAGACCAGUAUGAAAGGCAAAAUGAGGGUUUGACUGUCUCUUAUAAUAAAUCAAUUAAACUGAUCUCCCAGUAAAAAAGCUGGAAUUACCACAUAAGACCAGAAGACCCUGUGAAGCUUAAACUACACUAUUAAACCUCAUAAUAACUACUUUCGGUUGGGGCGACCUUGGAAAAAAAAAGAACUUCCAAACACAUGAUAUUACAUCACAACAUGGCCCACAAGCCACUCAAAGACCCAGCAUAGCUGAUUAUUGAACCAAGUUACUCCAGGGAUAACAGCGCAAUCCUCUUCAAGAGCCCAUAUCAAAAAGAGGGUUUACGACCUCGAUGUUGGAUCAGGACAUCCUGAUGGUGCAGCCGCUAUCAAGGGUUCGUUUGUUCAACGAUUAAUGUCCU